RNAcentral lists this transfer RNA (73 nucleotides) under Myotis lucifugus (little brown bat). It matches the Rfam family "tRNA". From Rfam's summary of the family: Transfer RNA (tRNA) molecules are approximately 80 nucleotides in length. Their secondary structure includes four short double-helical elements and three loops (D, anti-codon, and T loops). Further hydrogen bonds mediate the characteristic L-shaped molecular structure. tRNAs have two regions of fundamental functional importance: the anti-codon, which is responsible for specific mRNA codon recognition, and the 3' end, to which the tRNAs corresponding amino acid is attached (by aminoacyl-tRNA synthetases). tRNAs cope with the degeneracy of the genetic code in two manners: having more than one tRNA (with a specific anti-codon) for a particular amino acid; and 'wobble' base-pairing, i.e. permitting non-standard base-pairing at the 3rd anti-codon position. The record is from Rfam by way of RNAcentral. Lineage: Eukaryota; Metazoa; Chordata; Mammalia; Chiroptera; Vespertilionidae.
GCUCGUGUGGCUCAGUGGAUAGAGUGUCGGUCUGCAGACUGAAGGGUCCUGGGUUCGAUUCCAGUCAAGGGCA